CCCUUAGAUGUUCUGGGCCGCACGCGCGCUACACUGACGAUGGCAACGAGUUUUUCCUUCGCCGAAAGGUGUGGGUAAUCUUUUGAAACAUCGUCGUGCUGGGGAUAGAUCAUUGCAAUUUUUGAUCUUGAACGAGGAAUUCCUAGUAAGCGCGAGUCAUCAGCUCGCGUUGAUUACGUCCGUGCCCUUUGUACACACCGCCCGUCGCUACUACCGAUUGAAUGGUUUAGUGAGGACUCCUGAUUGGCGCCGCCGCCCCGGCAACGGAGCAGCGGACUGCCGAAAAGUUGUUCAAACUUGAUCAUUUAGAGGAAGUAAAAGUCGUAACA
RNAcentral lists this ribosomal RNA (329 nucleotides) under uncultured eukaryote. RNAcentral describes it as "partial 18S ribosomal RNA". It matches the Rfam family "Eukaryotic small subunit ribosomal RNA", at positions 1470 to 1796 of the family's 1831-position model. The record is from RNAcentral.